This 519-nucleotide long non-coding RNA is filed under the name Brassica napus (rape). RNAcentral's name for it is "long non-coding RNA (BNAP_LNC017484)". Lineage: Eukaryota; Viridiplantae; Streptophyta; Magnoliopsida; Brassicales; Brassicaceae. The record is from RNAcentral.
UCGGAAUUUCCCGACCGAAAACCGACGAUUAUUCUAUUUGUCUCUUUUUUCCUACAGAUUUCCGACAAAAGAGUGCAUAGGGUUUCAAAACAUCAAUAUAAUGCUCUAAUACAAAACUCUUAUAAUAAACAGAUGGUUUUAAGAAGAUUAACUAAAAAAAAUUGGUUUAACUCGAUAUUAUACAAAUUAAAUAUGUAUGAUUAUAUUUUGGAAUAUGUUUGUUGUUUAAGUGUAUAAGUGUUAAUGAAAGAUGUUAUGAAUAAGUUGAUAUAUGUACAUAUAGAGUUUUUACAAUUGAAAAACUUAAAUCGUUCUGAACAUUAUAUUACACACUUGAUAUGUGUUAUUUGGUAUUUUAGUAUCCAUUUUUACAUUUUAUAUGAAUUAGUUGUAUUUAAAACUACAUUUCGUCGGAAAACAGUCAGUAAUUUCCGACGAAAUUCCGACAACGUCUUGAGCUUCGUUGGAAUUUCGUCAGAAAUUUCUGACGGAAUACCGACGAUGUUUUAAUUUCGUCCU